CAUCCUGCUACUGUGCUGAAGACUUCACAAAUCUUAGUGAACCCUGCAACAUUAAGUCAUAAAGAACCGAAAACAUAAGAGCAAGAAAUUAAUAUCAGACAGGUUUGUACAAAAUGAUGUCAAUUAUUAAGUUGAUUUAUUAAAAGGUACUGUACUAAAGGAUCAAGCUCAACUGUGAAUUUCUUGGUAAUUAGUUGAAAUAGUAUUAUAAUUAUUACGCACUUUGUUUGCUUUUAUGUAUUUUGUUUGUUAUAUUAUUAUCUGUCCUGAGCCGGGGGUCUAUUGGAAACCGCCUCUCUACUUCAUGAGGUAUGGACUGUAUACACUUUACCCUCCCAGACCCCACUUGAUGGGAAUACACAGAGUAUGUUGUUAUUGUUGUUCUUUUGGUUAAAUGAUUAAUGAAACCUAUUCAUUGGUGCGGGACAGUGAGGGUAGUGGGGCACUAGCUAUAGAAUUAAAGAUGGGUUAUUAGAAAGUGCAUACGUGGAGCAGUCAAUGGAAGGGCUAAUUUCGUAGGGAAGAUUGACACCACAUUUUCUAGGGAGAGCAGAAGCAAGGGCGAGGUUGAUGCCGCUGAUGGUUCCGGCAGCCGAUUUGAUGCACUUACAAGCCAUCUGACGAUCAGGAGUUGUGGUAGCUUGGCCGUUGAGGGCCUUAAUUCCUUCGCAACAUUUUGGUGAAACAACACCAACUCCCCUCACGUA
Molecule: long non-coding RNA, 707 nt
Filed under: Capsicum annuum
Lineage: Eukaryota; Viridiplantae; Streptophyta; Magnoliopsida; Solanales; Solanaceae
Description: long non-coding RNA (CANN_LNC005491)
Source: RNAcentral